Molecule: long non-coding RNA, 589 nt
Organism: Notothenia coriiceps (black rockcod)
Lineage: Eukaryota; Metazoa; Chordata; Actinopteri; Perciformes; Nototheniidae
Exons: 7
Source: RefSeq, a predicted model, not a curated record
CUGAAACCUCUCUAGUUGCAGAAAGUACCGCAGCAGCAACAGGUGGACGUGUUGAAGGACCUGUUCCCUAUGAUGGUGCGAAUCAAUACUCCAACGUAGGCUAUCCUGUUACAAAUGAAGGCCAGACUGGUCUUGAUGAUGCUCCUUUUCCCUAUGAUGGUGCAAAACCUGUGUCAAUAGAAUUUUCCCCCAGUGGACGUGUUGAUGGACCUGUUCCCUUUGAUGAUGCUACUCAAUACGCUAAAACAGGGUACGCCAUUACAAAUGAAGGUCCGACUGGUCUCUAUGAUGGACCUGUUCCCGAUGGCACUGCUACUCGUUAUGCCAACGCAAAACCUGUGUCAAUAGACUUUUCCCCCAGUGGACGUGUUGAUGGACCUGUUCCCUAUGACGAUGAUACUCAAUACGCCAACGCAGCUCCGAUAAAUGCCGGUCAAACUGGAAGUAACCCAGCUGCCCCAGGUGGACUCUAUGAUAGACCUGAUCUCUAUGGUGGUGUAAAACCUGUGUCAAUAAAAGUUGCCCCCAGUGGACGUGUUGAUGGACCUGUUCCCUUUGAUGAUGCUACUCAAUACGCUAAUAUUUGGGC